Molecule: ribosomal RNA, 253 nt
Filed under: uncultured bacterium
Lineage: Bacteria
Description: partial 16S ribosomal RNA
Rfam family: Bacterial small subunit ribosomal RNA
Source: RNAcentral
UACAGAGGUCCCAAGCGUUGUUCGGAUUCAUUGGGCGUAAAGGGUGCGUAGGUGGCGCCGUAAGUGGGGUGUGAAAUUUCGGAGCUCAACUCCGAAACUGCAUUCCAUACUGCGGUGCUUGAGGACUGGAGAGGAGACUGGAAUUCACGGUGUAGCAGUGAAAUGCGUAGAGAUCGUGAGGAAGACCAGUGGCGAAGGCGGGUCUCUGGACAGUUCCUGACACUGAGGCACGAAGGCCAGGGGAGCAAACGGG